GAACUUAUGAGCUAAUAACUUUAAAUUUCUUACAGCCUACUUAUUAAAAAUUAAGUAGAAGACCACGAUCUGCACCGAUACCCAGAGGAAGUUAUUUCAACAACUUACAACAAAAAGUCAAAAAGGGAAUCGCUCUCUUGCUGCGAUUCAUGAGUGAAAAUUCAAGAAAGUACUAUUAAAGUCAACGAUCACUCUCGAGAUACGAGGUGACUACCAUUCUUUAUCGACUUGAAGCUAGCCAGAUGACGAGUUGAUGUAGACCCUUAAAUGAUUAUACUCGGGUUGAACUUAUAAUCAUCUUUAAGGACUCUCCACAUCGACGCUACUCGCGCAGUCGAAGAGCUCCUGAUUUCCUGCUUCA
Long non-coding RNA from Pectinophora gossypiella (pink bollworm), 361 nucleotides. RefSeq lists it as uncharacterized. NCBI's taxonomy places the organism in Eukaryota, Metazoa, Arthropoda, Insecta, Lepidoptera, Gelechiidae. The transcript is spliced from 4 exons. The record is from RefSeq and is a predicted model, not a curated record.